UAAUAAGUGUUUUAUGGCACUUUUUAAAUCCAUAUCCACCUUGUGUGCAAUGUCAGGUCGAUCUCUUUCUUGAGAUCGACCAAACAUCAACCUUUAUCUUUUAACUCUUUGUCUGAAAAAUAUUAUGAAUAAACAAUUCAAAAUA
RNAcentral lists this unclassified non-coding RNA (145 nucleotides) under soil metagenome. RNAcentral describes it as "partial internal transcribed spacer 1". The record is from RNAcentral.